CCCUACGGGGCGCAGCAGGCGCGAAAACUUUACAAUGCUGGCAACAGCGAUAAGGGGACCUCGAGUGCCAGGAUACAAUCUUGGCUGUCGUAAUGCCUAAAAAGCAUUGCAUAGCAAGGGCCGGGCAAGACCGGUGCCAGCCGCCGCGGUAACACCGGCGGCUCGAGUGGUAACCGCUAUUAUUGGGUCUAAAGGGUCUGUAGCCGGCCGGAUAAGUCUUUUGGGAAAUCUGGCAGCUCAACUGUCAGGCUUUCAGAAGAUACUGUUCGGCUCGAGGCCGGGAGAGGUGAGAGGUACUUCAGGGGUAGGGGUGAAAUCCUGUAAUCC
RNAcentral lists this ribosomal RNA (327 nucleotides) under uncultured archaeon. RNAcentral describes it as "bacterial SSU rRNA". It matches the Rfam family "Archaeal small subunit ribosomal RNA", at positions 321 to 648 of the family's 1478-position model. The record is from RNAcentral.